This 1141-nucleotide long non-coding RNA is filed under the name Manihot esculenta (cassava). RNAcentral describes it as "long non-coding RNA (MESC_LNC000976)". The record is from RNAcentral. Lineage: Eukaryota; Viridiplantae; Streptophyta; Magnoliopsida; Malpighiales; Euphorbiaceae.
UUGAAGAUGUACUAAAGCUAAUUAACAAUAGAAAGCAAAUAAUUUAAAGAUGAGUAAAUCAAUAAGAGAAAAGCUUCUAGUUGAAGUAUGGAUCUAUUUCAGAUUGUUUAGAAUUGAUCAUUGAUUCUUUAACGCUCCUAUUUAUUCCAAUAAAUUAGUUUAGGAUGUGGAAGACGCUUCUCACAAUCCAAAUUCCUCCUUAGUUCUAGUUUGAUUAGGAAACGCUCACUAAUCAAACACUAGUUAACAAGUUGCCAAGGAACGUCCUUGGGGCUUUUAGCAUCGAACAACUGUUAACUGCAUUAAGACUUAGAGAAACCUAAUUCUAACCUUGCCAACCGCGUGGUCAAGUUUAGAUUAUGCAACUUGAUUAAAUGUGUGUUUAAAUAAUCUAAGCAAUUAUGGACCUAAAUUAUUCAAACAAUUGUUACUCAAGCAAUUAAAAGCAAUAGGCCUAAAUUGAUUCUAAAAGCAAAGCAACAAUUAUAGAAAGGUCAAAUAGCAUAAAUAUUGAAAAUAAAUAGAAGUUUAACAAUGGAGAUUUAAAUCUCCCAAUUCAUCACAAAUCUGAAUUUUCCAACUUCAACUAGAAAAGAAAAGUGUUUAGCCACUCAUGGUGGAUAAAAUCACAAAAGAAAAGAAGAAGAAAAGGAGACAAGCUGCUGUAUUUUUCUGCAGAAUUGCUGAAGAUGAGAUGAAGAAGAAAUGCCUCUUGCUGGUUUGGAGGCUGCCCUUUUAUAGCUGAAGAAUUCCAUCCUUCUAGGGUUUUGAAAUCCCUUUUUAAUUUGGCUUGUGAUUCCUCUUUUGAUGUUGAAUUUAAUUGCAACUGGAAUUCCUUAGGUGAGAAACUCUUUCGUGGCUCUUGGAAUUGUGUUGGUAGUGAUUGAGUUGGAUUUGGACUUCUGAAAAUUUGAAAUUCGGUUUCCUGCUGUUUUCUCGCCUCUGCUGUCAAUUUCUGCUGUCAAGGUGAUUUGGGCAGAUCACUUGCUCGAUCUGCCCCAAUCGCUCUCUGGGAUUCAGUCCAGUUUCUGUCUCUGUGAGUGAUUUGGCCAGUCUCUACGAGUGAUUUGGGCAGAUCACUUGCCCAUAUCACUUCUGCCUGUUGCCUCCAGGUUUCUGCUUCAGCUUGAUCUGGGCAGUG